This is a long non-coding RNA of Myotis brandtii (Brandt's bat), 139 nucleotides long. RefSeq lists it as uncharacterized. Lineage: Eukaryota; Metazoa; Chordata; Mammalia; Chiroptera; Vespertilionidae. The record is from RefSeq and is a predicted model, not a curated record. The transcript is spliced from 2 exons.
UGCAGGAGGGGAAACACUACCUCAUAUGGGGCCUCUCCUCAGACCUGUGGGGAGAGAAAUCCAACAUCAAGUACAUCAUCGGGAAGGAAACCUGGGUAGAGCUGUGGCCUGAAGCGGACGAAUGCCAAGACGAUGAGAA